Callithrix jacchus (white-tufted-ear marmoset) is the source of this 117-nucleotide unclassified non-coding RNA. It matches the Rfam family "Metazoan signal recognition particle RNA". From Rfam's summary of the family: The signal recognition particle (SRP) is a universally conserved ribonucleoprotein. It is involved in the co-translational targeting of proteins to membranes. The eukaryotic SRP consists of a 300-nucleotide 7S RNA and six proteins: SRPs 72, 68, 54, 19, 14, and 9. Lineage: Eukaryota; Metazoa; Chordata; Mammalia; Primates; Cebidae. The record is from Ensembl.
GCCGGGCGUGAUGGCUCACGCCUGUAAUUCCAGCACUUUUGGAGGCUGAGGUGGGUGGAUCACCUGAGGUCAGGAGUUCGAGACCAGCCUGACCAAUAUAGUGAAACCCCAUCUUUA